UCUGUUCUCAAAUGUUUGCCAACCCAAAAUAAUAGACGCUGGAAUAAAAAACGAAAAGAGUAAAACAUCUGAAAAUUGUGAAACACAAAAAAGGGUUUUCUCGAAAGCAAAAGUGGAUUCGACAAAAUAGAUCAGAUUCAAUCGAUAAUCGAUCAGACAAUUCCUUUUCUCGAAUUGGAAAAUCCAGCUGAAGAUCCAUAAUCUAUCUGUGUUUUUGGAGUUUCCGAUGUCAUCUUCAAUGGCGUUUUAGUAAAGCUUGAAAAUCUAUAAACGAAUAUGGGUCUUCUUUCAAAGAUUUAUAUUCAAGAUUCUGUUUGUCCUAAUUAUCUGAUUUUGUGGAAAGUCAGGAAAUUGGAUCCAGAACAAUUAACCAAAGAUAAGUAACGAUACCCAUUUCUUCAUUUCUAAAUACCUAUGAUCCAAGUUUUAAAAACUCUAAUUUUUAAACUUUCCUCGUCAGGCUUAAAUUACUUUCAAGAAGACGAUGAUUAGAGACAACAAUUGGAUUGUAAUUUAACUUAUAAGUAGCCGGAGUUUUGGAUUUCUUUUACCUGGCAAGUAGGGAAAAAAUUCGUCUACAAUGGAUCACUAAGGUUUUGAGUGGAGCUUGAAGAUAUACAAUCGAAUUGAGUCUUUCUUUGAAAGGAAAACUAAUGAAGAUCACUAAAUCAAAGAUAAGUAACGAAACCCUCUUCUUGAUUUGUAGAUGCCUCUACUACAAUUUUUUAGAACUCUAAUGUUUAAUUUUACUUGGUCAGGCUAAAAUUACUUUCAGUAAGACGAUUAUUCGGGAACAAAUGUGUUGAAGGUUGACUUAUAAGAAACCGGAGUUUUGGAUUUGUUUUCCCUUGCAAGUAGUUUACGAAUUAAAG
Camelina sativa (false flax) is the source of this 872-nucleotide non-coding RNA. The record is from RefSeq and is a predicted model, not a curated record. NCBI's taxonomy places the organism in Eukaryota, Viridiplantae, Streptophyta, Magnoliopsida, Brassicales, Brassicaceae.